Molecule: unclassified non-coding RNA, 331 nt
Filed under: soil metagenome
Description: partial contains 5.8S ribosomal RNA, internal transcribed spacer 2, and large subunit ribosomal RNA
Rfam family: 5.8S ribosomal RNA (bases 1-120)
Source: RNAcentral
GAUGAAGAACGUAGCGAAAUGCGAUAAGUAAUGUGAAUUGCAGAAUUCAGUGAAUCAUCGAAUCUUUGAACGCACAUUGCGCCCCCUGGUAUUCCGGGGGGCAUGCCUGUUCGAGCGUCAUUUCACCACUCAAGCCUCGCUUGGUAUUGGGCAACGCGGUCCGCCGCGUGCCUCAAAUCGACCGGCUGGGUCUUCUGUCCCCUAAGCGUUGUGGAAACUAUUCGCUAAAGGGUGUUCGGGAGGCUACGCCGUAAAACAACCCCAUUGCUAAGGUUGACCUCGGAUCAGGUAGGGAUACCCGCUGAACUUAAGCAUAUCAAUAAGCGGAGGA